UAUGCACGCUGGCGGCGUGCUUAACACAUGCAAGUCGAACGGAAAGGCCCAAGCUUGCUUGGGUACUCGAGUGGCGAACGGGUGAGUAACACGUGGGUGAUCUGCCCUGCACUUCGGGAUAAGCCUGGGAAACUGGGUCUAAUACCGGAUAGGACGAUGGUUUGGAUGCCAUUGUGGAAAGUUUUUUCGGUGUGGGAUGAGCUCGCGGCCUAUCAGCUUGUUGGUGGGGUAAUGGCCUACCAAGGCGUCGACGGGUAGCCGGCCUGAGAGGGUGUACGGCCACAUUGGGACUGAGAUACGGCCCAGACUCCUACGGGAGGCAGCAGUGGGGAAUAUUGCACAAUGGGCGCAAGCCUGAUGCAGCGACGCCGCGUGGGGGAUGACGGCCUUCGGGUUGUAAACUCCUUUCGCUAGGGACGAAGCGUUUUGUGACGGUACCUGGAGAAGAAGCACCGGCUAACUACGUG
This 467-nucleotide ribosomal RNA is filed under the name uncultured bacterium. Its description in RNAcentral is "partial 16S ribosomal RNA". It matches the Rfam family "Bacterial small subunit ribosomal RNA", at positions 29 to 507 of the family's 1533-position model. The record is from RNAcentral.